RNAcentral lists this ribosomal RNA (497 nucleotides) under uncultured bacterium. RNAcentral describes it as "partial 16S ribosomal RNA". It matches the Rfam family "Bacterial small subunit ribosomal RNA", at positions 28 to 507 of the family's 1533-position model. The record is from RNAcentral.
GAUGAACGCUGGCGGCGUGCCUAAUACAUGCAAGUCGAGCGAACAGACGAGGAGCUUGCUCCUCUGACGUUAGCGGCGGACGGGUGAGUAACACGUGGAUAACCUACCUAUAAGACUGGGAUAACUUCGGGAAACCGGAGCUAAUACCGGAUAAUAUAUUGAACCGCAUGGUUCAAUAGUGAAAGACGGAUUUGCUGUCACUUAUAGAUGGAUCCGCGCCGCAUUAGCUAGUUGGUAAGGUAACGGCUUACCAAGGCGACGAUGCGUAGCCGACCUGAGAGGGUGAUCGGCCACACUGGAACUGAGACACGGUCCAGACUCCUACGGGAGGCAGCAGUAGGGAAUCUUCCGCAAUGGGCGAAAGCCUGACCGAGCAACGCCGCGUGAGUGAUGAAGGUCUUCGGAUCGUAAAGCUCUGUUAUUAGGGAAGAACAAAUGUGUAAGUAACUAUGCACGUCUUGACGGUACCUAAUCAGAAAGCCACGGCUAACUACGUG